Molecule: ribosomal RNA, 405 nt
Filed under: bacterium
Lineage: Bacteria
Description: partial 16S ribosomal RNA
Rfam family: Bacterial small subunit ribosomal RNA
Source: RNAcentral
UAAGGAAUAUUGCGCAAUGGGGGAAACCCUGACGCAGCAACGCCGCGUGGAGGAUGACACUUUUCGGAGCGUAAACUCCUUUUAUCAGGAAAGAAUAAUGACGGUACCUGAUGAAUAAGCACCGGCUAACUCCGUGCCAGCAGCCGCGGUAAUACGGGGGGUGCAAGCGUUACUCGGAAUCACUGGGCGUAAAGGACGCGUAGGCGGAUUAUCAAGUCUUUUGUGAAAUCUAGUGGCUUAACCACUAAACUGCUUAGGAAACUGAUAGUCUAGAGCAGGGGAGAGGUAGAUGGAAUUCUUGGUGUAGGGGUAAAAUCCGUAGAGAUCAAGAAGAAUACCCAUUGCGAAAGCGAUCUGCUGGAACCUAACUGACGCUGAGGCGUGAAAGCGUGGGUAGCAAACAGG